AAAUUGAUUACUAAUAUUACAGUAUGAAAUGGAAUAGAGAAAUUUACAAAAAUAUUGCGAAAAAUUACAUCUUAAGCUAAAAAUUGCAAGUUCAAAAAAAUCCAGAUAAAAAAUCCAGAUAAGUAAAUAAACAAACAAAUGCAAAACAAGUAAAUAAUUAAUAAAAUUACAUUAGAAAAUCGGAAUAGGUAAAAUUUUUUUAUAAAAAUAUUGCAAAUGACAUCUUAAGCUAAAAGUUGGUCGAAUUAUAUCAUAAUUGGUGGAAUAAUAUACCAUAAGGAAUGAAAAUACAUAACAUGAACAUACAAAUCCAUUGAGCAUUCCUCUCUUUAUAUAUUGGUAGGUCUAAAGUUUUAUGUUCGGAAUUGGGUAUAUAGCUCUUUACAUACCAUAUUUAAAAUGUUGUAUCCUAUUACUGGUAACUGUUACCAAGUUUUCCUUCAAACAUACCCCCUGUGUCUUAGAAAUAUCAGUUGUACAACAUAUUAAACAUUUUAUUUUCUCCAAAGUCUGGCUUUAAGAAUAAAAUGUAUAACUGAAUAUUUUGUAAUUUUUUUUCUACACAGAUAUCGAUCUUAUGUCAAUGCUGUAUACGCAUCCAAACCUUUAUCAAACCCCUCCAUUGCAAGACCAUGGACGCUCCAGUGCUUCAAGCAGUAGCCUCUUCAAUCCAGACAUCAUUUCGCUCGAUUGACAAAGAACCUGGGGGAUGGGGGCUUUACAGCCCCCUUCCUCCAACUUAGAUUUUACAGAUAUUAUUGAUGAUCUUUUUCGUAGUUGUUAGGUGUGAAGGGUAGGGGAAAGUCAAAACAAAUCAUAGGCUUAGAUAUUUUUAGUUGAUAGAAUAUUAAUUAAGCGGUCUCUACAUGGUCUAGGAUUUAUUUAUGCAGGUGAAAACAUUUUGUUGAAUAUUUGAAUGCAGGUGAGGAAAUUUAUGCUAUCAGAUAUCUUCCGUAUCAGAAAGUAUCCUAAACAAAUAUAUAGAUAAAAUUACCAUUCAUUAAACAAAAAGUAUAUUAAAUUUUGAUUAAUUCAAAUUUACAUACAUUUAUUUCUUUAUUAACCAAUUUAUUUUGUCAUUUUUUGCAUUUGCAAUUUUAAAAAAUUAAUGAAAAAGUAUAAUUCUAUAAAUAUAUUUUUGAGCUACAUUUUUAACUAAGAUUAAUAAUUUGCUUAAGAUGUUGAGAUGGGUAAUUUAUAAUUUCAGUUUUCUAGAGAUUGAUCUGUGAAUGGUUGAAAUUUCAAAUUUAUACUUAAUUUUUGUUUUGAAUUUUAUCCUUCUUUCUUUAAAAAUAUAACAUCAUCCACCAUGAUCUACAGUAUUUAGAAUGGUGUGAUGCAAGUACUGCACCAUGUAAGUAAAUACAAGUAAAGGCGGUAUAACAAGAAAUAUUACUUUUUAUUUGUACCCAUGUAAAAUGUUUUUUUUUUAAUUAAAUGUAAAAUAGGAAAAUCACUUUUGUAAUUUGGUAUAUCACUGUUGACCAUGGAAAAUUGGAGCUUUUUUGGAAGGCUCAGUGACUAGUACAAAAUUCUCAUUUAUGAACAAAAAAACCCUGAUAUUCUGCAUAGGUUAGUUAUUGGUUAGAAAGAUAUUCAGGAUAUUUGAAAUGUGUUAAAUUGAGCAUCAGGGAUUUAGCCCGUCUAAAUUUUAACAUGAAGUGACAUCUGAGUAGUGAAACUUCGAGUGGGUGUGGAUUUACGAGGGGGCAGGGGAUCUCCCAAGGUAGGUAAAAAAUGAAAUUAAAAACCAGAAAUAUAGGAAUACCAUACAUAAAUAUAACAAAACUUGUUUUUGUUUAUAUUCAUUGCAUAUAUUGUCAAUGAUUCAAAUGGCCAAGAAUUUAUUCAAUAACAUUACUGAAUGAAAGCAAGUGUGGUGUAACACAUCAUCCUAAAUAGUGGCCAUCUUAUGUCUUAUUGGAUUCAAAAAAGAAGUCUUGAUGGUAGCUCACUAAUUUGUUGUGGGUGAAGCUUAAAUCGACACCUACACAGUAGAUCUAAAUUUAACUUGUUAAUCUGUGCUAGAUCAACAUUUAAGUGUGAUGGUUGUUUUUUAUUCAUUAUGAACAAUAAAAUAUAUUUAUUUUCUCAGUUUCUGCCAGUCCUAUCAUUAAAACCAUGAAUAUCUUUACCUGAUAUUUGUAUUUACUAUAAUCCUAUGAUGAGUAAAUGUCAUAUGACAUGAUAGUCAGAAUUCCACAUCUUGUGAAACACUCCCUUUCAAGAACAUGUGUGCUAAUACUAUAAAUAGAAGAAUGCACUGUGACAACAGGUCAACAACAAAAAAUGUUGUUACUGAAAAAUAUUGAUACUAGAAAAUGAAAUAGGGCAGGUAUGUGGUCCACUUUGUAUAAAAUGUAACAAGUUGGCAGGUUUGCCAAUACAGUAUUUAAAAAUUCUAUAAUUGUAAUGAAUUUAGUGUUAAAAUAUUUGCAUUUAUAUUCUACUGCUAAUUUAUAAAAUGCGGUGCAUUUUACAAAUUUAAUUUUAAUUUUCAUCCACACUGCACCGUGUACACUUGGGGUAUAUCCAGUGAUCUUCAAUAAUAUCUUUAAAUGUGUUCAUCAUCUACAAUAUAUUGAUGACAUCAUCCAAUGUUACCAUGGUAACCUGGCAGUUUACACUUGAGGUUUAACUGGUGAUCUGUAAUGCUAUCCAUGAUUUAUAACUUUACACUUGUAUUUUUUUUUAUAUAUAAAUAAUUAUUUAACCCAUUCUGUGAACUUUUAAAAACGUACUCUGUCUUUACCUAUCUAGCCAGAAUUUUGCUUUGUUGUUUGUUUAGUUGCAUGUUAAAUUAUAAAUUGUUUGCUCAGAUGUUUGCUCCUUCAGUUGUAUUAAGGGCGGUGUAAUAUAAAAAGCAUUUCAUUGGCGUAAUGCAUAGUUUAUUCCACAUAUAUUUGUACAUUAUGUUAAAUAAAUGAAAAUAUGUACAGCAA
Molecule: long non-coding RNA, 2942 nt
Filed under: Anneissia japonica
Lineage: Eukaryota; Metazoa; Echinodermata; Crinoidea; Comatulida; Comatulidae
Description: uncharacterized LOC117110103
Source: RNAcentral